CAUCGUUUUAUGAAUUUAUAUAUAUAAAAUAUAACCUGCCCAAUGAAUAUUUAAAUGGCCGCGGUAUUUUGACCGUGCAAAGGUAGCAUAAUCAUUAGUUUCUUAAUUAGAAGCUGGAAUGAAUGGUUGGACGAGAAAGUGACUGUCUUUAUUUAAAAAAUUAGAAAUUUAUUUUUAAGUUAGAAAGCUUAAAUUUUUUUAAAAGACGAGAAGACCCUAUAGAGUUUAAUUUAUAUUAUAAUUAUCGUGAAAUUAGUAUAUAAAUUUAUAUAAUUAUAUAUUUAUUUAAUUGGGGUGAUUGGAGGAUUUAAUUAACUCUUUCUAUAUUUAUUUAUUGAUUUAUAUAUUUUUGAUCCAUAUUUUUUGAUUAAAAGAUUAAAUUACCUUAGGGAUAACAGCGUAAUUUUUAUGGAGAGUUCUUAUCAAUAUAAGAGUUUGCGACCUCGAUGUUGGAUUAAAAUAAAUAUUUGGUGUAGAAGCUUAAGUAUUAAGUCUGUUCGACUUUUAAAAUUUUACAUGAUCUGAGU
Molecule: ribosomal RNA, 527 nt
Filed under: Ptilodactylidae sp. UPOL RK0761
Lineage: Eukaryota; Metazoa; Arthropoda; Insecta; Coleoptera; Ptilodactylidae
Description: partial 16S ribosomal RNA
Rfam family: Bacterial large subunit ribosomal RNA
Source: RNAcentral